Ovis aries (sheep) is the source of this 72-nucleotide transfer RNA. It matches the Rfam family "tRNA". From Rfam's summary of the family: Transfer RNA (tRNA) molecules are approximately 80 nucleotides in length. The record is from Rfam. NCBI's taxonomy places the organism in Eukaryota, Metazoa, Chordata, Mammalia, Artiodactyla, Bovidae.
UCCCUGGUGGCUCAGACGGUAAAGCGUCUGCCUGCAAUGCAGGAGACCUGGGUUUGAUUCCUGGGUCGGGAA